Molecule: transfer RNA, 71 nt
Filed under: Phractolaemus ansorgii (hingemouth)
Lineage: Eukaryota; Metazoa; Chordata; Actinopteri; Gonorynchiformes; Kneriidae
Description: tRNA-Thr
Rfam family: tRNA
About the family: Transfer RNA (tRNA) molecules are approximately 80 nucleotides in length. Their secondary structure includes four short double-helical elements and three loops (D, anti-codon, and T loops).
Source: RNAcentral
GCCCCAGUAGCUUAAACCAAAGCGCCGGUCUUGUAAUCCGGAGACUGGAGGUUAAAAUCCCCCCUGGUGCC